Molecule: transfer RNA, 73 nt
Filed under: Bos taurus (domestic cattle)
Lineage: Eukaryota; Metazoa; Chordata; Mammalia; Artiodactyla; Bovidae
Also listed under: 2 other names
Rfam family: tRNA
About the family: Transfer RNA (tRNA) molecules are approximately 80 nucleotides in length.
Source: Rfam by way of RNAcentral
UUCCUGGUGGUCCAGUGGUUAAGUUGCUGCACUUUUGUUGCAGGGGACACAGGUUUGAUCCCUGAUCUGGGAA